RNAcentral lists this ribosomal RNA (575 nucleotides) under Debaryomyces hansenii. Its description in RNAcentral is "partial large subunit ribosomal RNA". It matches the Rfam family "Eukaryotic large subunit ribosomal RNA", at positions 48 to 630 of the family's 3401-position model. Lineage: Eukaryota; Fungi; Ascomycota; Pichiomycetes; Serinales; Debaryomycetaceae. The record is from RNAcentral.
AAGCUGAGGAAAAGAAACCAACAGGGAUUGCCUUAGUAACGGCGAGUGAAGCGGCAAAAGCUCAAAUUUGAAAUCUGGCACCUUCGGUGUCCGAGUUGUAAUUUGAAGAAGGUAACUUUGGAGUUGGCUCUUGUCUAUGUUCCUUGGAACAGGACGUCACAGAGGGUGAGAAUCCCGUGCGAUGAGAUGCCCAAUUCUAUGUAAAGUGCUUUCGAAGAGUCGAGUUGUUUGGGAAUGCAGCUCUAAGUGGGUGGUAAAUUCCAUCUAAAGCUAAAUAUUGGCGAGAGACCGAUAGCGAACAAGUACAGUGAUGGAAAGAUGAAAAGAACUUUGAAAAGAGAGUGAAAAAGUACGUGAAAUUGUUGAAAGGGAAGGGCUUGAGAUCAGACUUGGUAUUUUGCGAUCCUUUCCUUCUUGGUUGGGUUCCUCGCAGCUUACUGGGCCAGCAUCGGUUUGGAUGGUAGGAUAAUGACUAAGGAAUGUGGCUCUACUUCGGUGGAGUGUUAUAGCCUUGGUUGAUACUGCCUGUCUAGACCGAGGACUGCGUCAUGACAAAAGGUUUGCUUAUGCGGGGC